RNAcentral lists this ribosomal RNA (198 nucleotides) under Eimeria ellipsoidalis. RNAcentral's name for it is "partial 28S rRNA". It matches the Rfam family "Eukaryotic large subunit ribosomal RNA", at positions 1 to 191 of the family's 3401-position model. Lineage: Eukaryota; Apicomplexa; Conoidasida; Eucoccidiorida; Eimeriidae. The record is from RNAcentral.
CUAGACCUGAAAUCAGUCGAGGACACCCGCUGAAUUUAAGCAUAUUAUUAAGCGGAGGAAAAGAAAAUAACUAUGAUUCCCUUAGUAACGGCGAGUGAAGAGGGAGGUGCUCAAAGUGAAAAUCGUGGUACCUCUUAUGGUACCGCGAGUUGUAGCCUCUAGAGGCGUUACCAGUGGAGGGGCAGGUCUAAGUUUCUU